This 492-nucleotide ribosomal RNA is filed under the name uncultured bacterium. Its description in RNAcentral is "partial 16S ribosomal RNA". It matches the Rfam family "Bacterial small subunit ribosomal RNA", at positions 29 to 507 of the family's 1533-position model. The record is from RNAcentral.
AGUGAACGCUGGCGGUAGGCCUAACACAUGCAAGUCGAACGGCAGCACAGUAAGAGCUUGCUCUUACGGGUCGCGAGUGGCGGACGGGUGAGGAAUACAUCGGAAUCUACUUUUUCGUGGGGGAUAACGUAGGGAAACUUACGCUAAUACCGCAUACGACCUACGGGUGAAAGCAGGGGAUCUUCGGACCUUGCGCGAUUGAAUGAGCCGAUGUCGGAUUAGCUAGUUGGCGGGGUAAAGGCCCACCAAGGCGACGAUCCGUGGCUGGUCUGAGAGGAUGAUCAGCCACACUGGAACUGAGACACGGUCCAGACUCCUACGGGAGGCAGCAGUGGGGAAUAUUGGACAAUGGGCGCAAGCCUGAUCCAGCCAUACCGCGUGGGUGAAGAAGGCCUUCGGGUUGUAAAGCCCUUUUGUUGGGAAAGAAAAGCAGCAGGUUAAUACCCCGCUGUUCUGACGGUACCCAAAGAAUAAGCACCGGCUAACUUCGUG